GACCAGGUGGCGAAAUCGGUGAACGCGGCUGACUUAUAACAAAGCUGGCAAAUGGAGGUUCGAUCCCUUCCCUGGUCACAA
Molecule: transfer RNA, 81 nt
Filed under: Prolixibacteraceae bacterium
Lineage: Bacteria; Pseudomonadati; Bacteroidota; Bacteroidia; Marinilabiliales; Prolixibacteraceae
Description: tRNA-Ile
Rfam family: tRNA
About the family: Transfer RNA (tRNA) molecules are approximately 80 nucleotides in length. Their secondary structure includes four short double-helical elements and three loops (D, anti-codon, and T loops).
Source: RNAcentral